AGAGUUUGAUCAUGGCUCAGAACGAACGCUGGCGGCAGGCAUAACACAUACAAGUCGAGCGCACCUUGGGGUGAGCGGCGGACGGGUUAGUAACGCGUGGGAAUAUACCUAGUUGUAAGGAAUAGCCUCUGGAAACGGAGAGUAAUACCUUAUACGCCCUUCGGGGGAAAGAUUUAUCGGAAUUAGAUUAGCCCGCGUUAGAUUAGAUAGUUGGUGGGGUAAUGGCUCUACCAAGUCUACGAUCUAUAGCUGGUUGAGAGGAUGAUC
RNAcentral lists this ribosomal RNA (267 nucleotides) under uncultured Paracoccaceae bacterium. RNAcentral's name for it is "uncultured Rhodobacteraceae bacterium partial 16S ribosomal RNA". It matches the Rfam family "Bacterial small subunit ribosomal RNA", at positions 8 to 305 of the family's 1533-position model. The record is from RNAcentral. Lineage: Bacteria; Pseudomonadati; Pseudomonadota; Alphaproteobacteria; Rhodobacterales; Paracoccaceae.